Podospora aff. communis PSN243 is the source of this 102-nucleotide non-coding RNA. NCBI's taxonomy places the organism in Eukaryota, Fungi, Ascomycota, Sordariomycetes, Sordariales, Podosporaceae. The record is from the annotation of a GenBank genome assembly.
GCCCGGCUAGCUCAAUCGGUAGAGCGUGAGACUCUUAAGGAGCUUCUCCGAAAUCUCCAGAGAUUCAUCUCAAGGUCGUGGGUUCGACCCCCACGUCGGGCU